This 29-nucleotide non-coding RNA is filed under the name Mus musculus (house mouse). The record is from RNAcentral. Lineage: Eukaryota; Metazoa; Chordata; Mammalia; Rodentia; Muridae.
UGUGAAAUGUUUCAGGAAGCAGGUGCUGC